CGGCAGCCCAGACUUUCCUCUCCAUCCUUGCAUCCAGCAUGAGCUGACCCACAGCCUCUGUGAAAGGGACUAAUGAAAAGCCUCAGAGCUAACUAAGCUCUCCCGCUCCGUGCUCUGGAGUGGCAAGAGGGGCUGUGUCGGUGACACCCGUUAGGAGCUGGUCACAAAUCCCCCUACCUCGCAGAAGAACUGAAAGAAAGGGUGACUUUCAUCCCAGAACUGGUUCAUACAGAGUUCCACAGUCAGGCCCUCUUGCCUCCAUAUGGGCCAUGCUGAGGGGUCAUGCCAGCUUCAGUGCUUCCAGGAGAAUCACCAGAGGCCUCUGCAGGGUCUGCACCAGCUCAGCACAAUCAGCACAAGAGCACUCCUAGAAGAGCCAGCUCUACCUCUGGAGUCACCAGAGGCAUCCAUCUCCACCGAGUCUCCCUUCUUUAUCUUCACAUCUUCACUUGUUCUUGUUAAGAUUUAUAGGAUGUGAAUUCCACACUAUGAUUCCAGCUAAGGUCCUCCUGCUUUGAGCACAGAUUCUAAAAUAUGAGACACUGAUAACUUCAUUUUUCAGUGUUAUAAUUGAGCAAAUUAAAGGCCAAGUAGUGUAUACUGAACUGAAGGGGGAAGAAAGAUGUAAGCAGAGCUGUAAGCAAGCCAAAGGGAAAAAAGUAACAAGACUUUGGAGAUGACAGAGGGAAUGGAUUGUUCAUAAUAAUUUAUUAAUUUUUAUUAACACAUAGCUUCUCAGAGAGGGCAUCCAUUCUUUCAAUACUAUAUUUGUUGUGGAAAACACAUAUUUCACCUUUAAAAUCUUCUGGGAGCUCUCUGGCUCACAGCUAGAACUUGUGCUGGCUGCUUCCUGGGCCUUUACGUGGUUCACUGGGGAUUUCUUGGCAUUAUGCUUCUGGAUUGGGUCCACUGUUUCUUGGAUCCUGUGUACUCUUUCUUGAAUUCAUUUUCUAUUUUGCAGUGUACAUCCCCAAUUAGUUCUCCCAAAGAUAGCCUAUGAGAAGGUCUUUGAGUCCUUAUGUGUCUGAAAGUAUUUAUUUUGCAGUUCUAUUUGAUUGAUAGUUUGGCUAGGUAUGGAAUUCCAGAUUAAAAAUCUAUUUCCUCAGAACCUGGAAA
This is a non-coding RNA of Peromyscus maniculatus bairdii (prairie deer mouse), 1116 nucleotides long. NCBI's taxonomy places the organism in Eukaryota, Metazoa, Chordata, Mammalia, Rodentia, Cricetidae. The record is from RefSeq and is a predicted model, not a curated record.